CUUAAUAAGAGUUUGAUCAUGGCUCAGAUUGAACGCUAGCGACAGGCUUAACACAUGCAAGUCGAGCGGCAACAUAAUAUAUAUAUUUUUAUAUAUAUAUAUAUAUUGAUGGCGAGCGGCAAACGGGUGAGUAAUAUCUAAGAAUCUACCUUUUGGAGUGGGACAACUAUUAUAAUUAGUAGCUAAUACCACAUAAUAUUAUUGUUAUUAUUUAUAAUAAUAAUUAAAGUAGGGGAUUAUAUUUAAAUUUUUUUAAAUAUAACCUUAUGCCAUUAGAUGAGCUUAGACGAGAUUAACUAGUAGGUGAGGUAAUUGCUUACCUAGGUGAUGAUCUCUAGCUGGUCUUAGAGGAUGAACAGCCACACUGGAACUGAGACACGGUCCAGACUUCUACGGAAGGCAGCAGUGAGGAAUAUUGCACAAUGGGGGAAACCCUGAUGCAGCUAUGUCGCGUGUGUGAAGAAGGCUUUUAGUCGUAAAACACUUUCGUCAAAGAAUAAAGUUUUAUAUAAAUAAUACUUAUAUAUUAUUGAUUAUUUGAAAAAGAAGUACCGGCUAAUUCCGUGCCAGCAGCCGCGGUAAUACGGGAGGUACUAGUGUUAAUCGGAAUUACUGGGCGUAAAGAGUGUGUAGGUGGUAUAUUAAGUCGUAUAUGAAAUCUUUAAGCUUAACUUAAAAACUGUAUUCGAUACUAAUAAACUAGAGUUUAUAGAGGGGAAUAGAAUUCCAAGUGUAGCAGUGAAAUGCGUAGAUAUUUGGAGGAAUACCAGAUGCGAAGGCGAUUCCCUGGGUAAAAACUGACACUGAGACACGAAAGCUUGGGUAGCGAACAGGAUUAGAUACCCUGGUAGUCCAUGCUGUAAACGAUGUCAAUUUGAAGAUUGUAAUAUUUUUAUGUUUUUAUAAUUUUCGUAGCUAACGCGUUAAAUUGACCGCCUGAGAAGUACGAUCGCAAGAUUAAAACUCAAAUGAAUUGACGGGGGCCCGCACAAGCGGUGGAGCAUGUGGUUUAAUUCGAUGCAACGCGAAGAACCUUACCUACUCUUGACAUCAUAAAGUAAUAAAGUAGAAAUACUUUAGUAUCUACGUAAGUAGAAUCUUUAAGACAGGUGCUGCAUGGCUGUCGUCAGCUCGUGUUGUGAAAUGUUGGGUUAAGUCCCUUAACGAGCGCAACCCUUAUCCUUUUUUGCCAGCGUAAAGUCGGGAACUAAAAGGAAACUGCCAGUUAUAAGCUGGAGGAAGGUGAGGAUAACGUCAAGUCAUCAUGGCCUUUAUGAGUAGGGCUACACACGUGCUACAAUGGUAUAUACAAAGAGAAGCAAUUUCGCGAGAAUGAGCAAAUCUUUAAAGUAUAUCACAGUUCGGAUUGAAGUCUGCAACUCGACUUCAUGAAGUAGGAAUCGCUAGUAAUCGUAGAUCAGAAUGCUACGGUGAAUAUGUUCUCGGGCCUUGUACACACCGCCCGUCACACCAUGGGAGUAAAUUGCAAAUUAAGAAAAUAAAUUUAAUCAUUUUUUUAAAAUGAAGGAUUUUUUCCAUUUUGUGUUUUAUGACUGGGGUGAAGUCGUAACAAGGUAACUGUAGGGGAACCUGUAGUUGGAACACCUCCAAU
Molecule: ribosomal RNA, 1612 nt
Filed under: endosymbiont of Rhynchophorus ferrugineus
Lineage: Bacteria; Pseudomonadati; Pseudomonadota; Gammaproteobacteria
Description: Bacterial small subunit ribosomal RNA
Rfam family: Bacterial small subunit ribosomal RNA
Source: Rfam by way of RNAcentral